GUGUUGAGUGUACCUUUCGAAUAAGCACCGGCUAACUACGUGCCAGCAGCCGCGGUAAUACGUAGGGUGCAAGCGUUAUCCGGAAUUAUUGGGCGUAAAGGGCUCGUAGGCGGUUCGUCGCGUCCGGUGUGAAAGUCCAUCGCUUAACGGUGGAUCCGCGCCGGGUACGGGCGGGCUUGAGUGCGGUAGGGGAGACUGGAAUUCCCGGUGUAACGGUGGAAUGUGUAGAUAUCGGGAAGAACACCAAUGGCGAAGGCAGGUCUCUGGGCCGUUACUGACGCUGAGGAGCGAAAGCGUGGGGAGCGAACAGGAUUAGAUACCCUGGUAGUCCACGCCGUAAACGGUGGAUGCUGGAUGUGGGGCCCGUUCCACGGGUUCCGUGUCGGAGCUAACGCGUUAAGCAUCCCGCCUGGG
This 414-nucleotide ribosomal RNA is filed under the name Bifidobacterium breve. RNAcentral describes it as "bacterial SSU rRNA". It matches the Rfam family "Bacterial small subunit ribosomal RNA", at positions 466 to 877 of the family's 1533-position model. The record is from RNAcentral. Lineage: Bacteria; Bacillati; Actinomycetota; Actinomycetes; Bifidobacteriales; Bifidobacteriaceae.